Molecule: long non-coding RNA, 204 nt
Filed under: Mytilus galloprovincialis (Mediterranean mussel)
Lineage: Eukaryota; Metazoa; Mollusca; Bivalvia; Mytilida; Mytilidae
Source: RNAcentral
UGGAUUGCGAAAAACAAAGAUUUCACCAAAUAAAUUAAAGUUAGAUAUUCUUAUGAAUAUCCUUUUCAUAUUGAUUACAAAUUUUAUUAAGUUUGAUACAGACAUUUCUUAGUCAAAGUGUUUUAACUUGGGUACAACACAGACAUCAAAAGGGGUCAUUAUGGAGUAAAGGGGGUGGCGUUAAAAGGUGUCAGUAUGGAGGAA